AAAGACAUGUAGUCUCUGCCAACUUCACCCUCCAUGAGGCUUACUGCCUGCGGUUCCUGGUCCUGUGUCCGGAGUGUGAGGAGCCUGUCCCCAAGGAAACCACGGAGGAGCACUGCAAGGUGGAGCACCAGCAGGCUUAUGGAUCUGGCAUAGGCAAGAGGUUCUGGUUUCAGGAAAGACUGGCUGUUCUCUUGAGAUCUGUAAAGAGAGGAUGUGAAAAAGGAAGGUCCUGGAAGGCAGUCAGAUGGAGCCCUGUUUCCCGCCUUUCCAUGUCCAUUCCUCCUGGGGCCCCUGAUCUGUCUCUCUGGAGAUACUCAAGCUCAGGCAGCCGUUGCCAACUCAGACUGGUCUGAGAAACACUUCUUGAACACUGGGCUGGGUGCUAGAGAGACACUGAGGUAGCCACAUCGGAUCCCUGCCCUCUGGGAGUUCACAGACCCAAACCCGGAACACCGUGAGCCAAAGUGGAUGUAGGGCAGGCUCUGGGUGUUGGGUGGACCCACAUCUGGUGUGUGUGUGUGUGUGUGUGUGUGUGUGUGUUUAGGUUGGGUGUACGAUGUGUCAGCAGAGCAUGCAGAAGUCCUCGCUGGAGUUUCAUAAGGCUUGGAGAGCAGUGGAGAACUAGCCCACCGCAUAACACAGGUCCUCCUGUCCCCCAGAUACUGGUCAGAAGGGUUUUCCAUGGUCCAUGAGUCCAUCAGAGCUCAGAUUCCCCGAAGGCAAUCCCGCAUUCUGGCCCUUCUCAUCUGCUUUCUCGUAUUGGCCCUAAUUCCCUAGGGAGAUGGGCACAAGUCCUUGAUCUGCCUACAGUCAAAGAGGCCAGUGAUCGGCCAGGCGCAGUGGCACACACCUGUAAUCCCAGCACUUUGGGAGGCCAAGGCGAGCG
This 886-nucleotide long non-coding RNA is filed under the name Pan troglodytes (chimpanzee). RNAcentral's name for it is "long non-coding RNA NONPTRT006639". Lineage: Eukaryota; Metazoa; Chordata; Mammalia; Primates; Hominidae. The record is from RNAcentral.